This 432-nucleotide ribosomal RNA is filed under the name uncultured bacterium. RNAcentral's name for it is "partial 16S ribosomal RNA". It matches the Rfam family "Bacterial small subunit ribosomal RNA", at positions 338 to 795 of the family's 1533-position model. The record is from RNAcentral.
CCUACGGGGGGCUGCAGUCGAGAAUUUUUCUCAAUGGGGGCAACCCUGAAGGAGCGACGCCGCGUGGAGGAUGAAGGCUUUCGGGUUGUAAACUCCUGUCAUUUGAGAACUAGUAUCAGAAGAGGAAGGGACGGCUAACUCUGUGCCAGCAGCCGCGGUAAUACAGAGGUCCCAAGCGUUGUUCGGAUUCAUUGGGCGUAAAGGGUGCGUAGGUGGCGUCGUAAGUCGGGUGUGAAAUCUCGGGGCUUAACUCCGAAACUGCAUUCGAUACUGCGGUGCUUGAGGACUGGAGAGGAGACUGGAAUUUACGGUGUAGCAGUGAAAUGCGUAGAGAUCGUAAGGAAGACCAGUGGCGAAGGCGGGUCUCUGGACAGUCCUGACACUGAGGCACGAAGGCCAGGGGAGCAAACGGGAUUAGAUACCCCUGUAGUC